GACGAACGCUGGCGGCGUGCUUAACACAUGCAAGUCGAACGGAAAGGCCCUGCGUUUGUUGGGUGCUCGAGUGGCGAACGGGUGAGUAACACGUGAGUAACCUGCCCUUGACUUUGUGAUAACUUCAGGAAACUGGGGCUAAUACCGGAUAUGAGCUCCUGCUGCAUGGGGGGGGUUGGAAAGUUUCGGCGGUUGGGGAUGGACUCGCGGGUUAUCAGCUUGUUGGUGGGGUAGUGGCUUACCAGGGCUUUGACGGGUAGGCGGCCUGGGAGGGUGACCGGCCACAUUGGGACUGAGAUACGGCCCAGACUCCAACGGGAGGCAGCAGUGGGGAAUAUUGCACAAUGGGGGGAAGCCUGAUGCAGCAACGCCGGGUGCGGGAUACCGGCUUUCGGGUUGUAAACCGCUUUCGCAUGUGACGAAGCGUGAGUGACGGUACUGGGUAAAGAAGCCCCGGCUAACUACGUG
This 468-nucleotide ribosomal RNA is filed under the name uncultured bacterium. RNAcentral's name for it is "partial 16S ribosomal RNA". It matches the Rfam family "Bacterial small subunit ribosomal RNA", at positions 28 to 507 of the family's 1533-position model. The record is from RNAcentral.